AGAGUUUGAUCCUGGCUCAGGACGAACGCUGGCGGCACGCUUAACACAUGCAAGUCGAACGAGAGAAGAGGAGCUUGCUUUUCUGAUCUAGUGGCGGACGGGUGAGUAACACGUGAGCAAUCUGCCUUUCAGAGGGGGAUACCGAUUGGAAACGAUCGUUAAUACCGCAUAACAUAAUUGAACCGCAUGAUUUGAUUAUCAAAGAUUUAUCGCUGAAAGAUGAGCUCGCGUCUGAUUAGCUAGUUGGUAAGGUAACGGCUUACCAAGGCGACGAUCAGUAGCCGGACUGAGAGGUUGAUCGGCCACAUUGGGACUGAGACACGGCCCAGACUCCUACGGGAGGCAGCAGUGGGGAAUAUUGCACAAUGGAGGAAACUCUGAUGCAGCGAUGCCGCGUGAGGGAAGAAGGUUUUAGGAUUGUAAACCUCUGUCUUCAGGGACGAAAAAAGACGGUACCUGAGGAGGAAGCUCCGGCUAACUACGUGCCAGCAGCCGCGGUAAUACGUAGGGAGCGAGCGUUGUCCGGAAUUACUGGGUGUAAAGGGAGCGUAGGCGGGAUCGCAAGUCAGAUGUGAAAACUAUGGGCUUAACCCAUAAACUGCAUUUGAAACUGUGGUUCUUGAGUGAAGUAGAGGUAAGCGGAAUUCCUAGUGUAGCGGUGAAAUGCGUAGAUAUUAGGAGGAACAUCAGUGGCGAAGGCGGCUUACUGGGCUUUAACUGACGCUGAGGCUCGAAAGCGUGGGGAGCAAACAGGAUUAGAUACCCUGGUAGUCCACGCCGUAAACGAUGAUUACUAGGUGUGGGGGGACUGACCCCUUCCGUGCCGCAGCAAACGCAAUAAGUAAUCCACCUGGGGAGUACGACCGCAAGGUUGAAACUCAAAGGAAUUGACGGGGGCCCGCACAAGCAGUGGAGUAUGUGGAUUAAUUCGAAGCAACGCGAAGAACCUUACCAGGUCUUGACAUCGUAUGCAUAGCUCAGAGAUGAGUGAAAUCUCUUCGGAGACAUAUAGACAGGUGGUGCAUGGUUGUCGUCAGCUCGUGUCGUGAGAUGUUGGGUUAAGUCCCGCAACGAGCGCAACCCUUACUGUUAGUUGCUACGCAAGAGCACUCUAGCAGGACUGCCGUUGACAAAACGGAGGAAGGUGGGGAUGACGUCAAAUCAUCAUGCCCCUUAUGACCUGGGCCUCACACGUACUACAAUGGCUGUCAACAGAGGGAAGCAAAGCCGCGAGGUGGAGCGAACCCCUAAAAGCAGUCUUAGUUCGGAUUGUAGGCUGCAACCCGCCUACAUGAAGUCGGAAUUGCUAGUAAUCGCAGAUCAGCAUGCUGCUGUGAAUACGUUCCCGGGCCUUGUACACACCGCCCGUCACGCCAUGGGAGUCGGUAACCCCCGAAGCCUGUAGUCUAACCGCAAGGAGGACGCAGUCGAAGGUGGGAUUGAUGACUGGGGUGAAGUCGUAACAAGGUA
This 1470-nucleotide ribosomal RNA is filed under the name metagenome. RNAcentral's name for it is "bacterial SSU rRNA". It matches the Rfam family "Bacterial small subunit ribosomal RNA". The record is from RNAcentral.